Ribosomal RNA from Sinocyclocheilus anshuiensis, 117 nucleotides. The record is from Ensembl. Lineage: Eukaryota; Metazoa; Chordata; Actinopteri; Cypriniformes; Cyprinidae.
ACUGGCAGCCAUAUCACCCUGCAGCCCAAGACUGGUUGCCCACUGAAGCUAAGCAGGGCUGAGCCUGGUCAGUACCUGUAUGGGAGACCUCCUGAUAAAACUAGGUUGCUGCUGGAA